AAAUACUGUCUGUGAGUACUGCGUUAAAAACAAAUCUGAGGGCCGGGUGUGUUGGCUCAAUCCUGUGGUCCUAGCAUUUUGGGAGGCCGAGGCAGGAGAGUUGCUCAAGCUCAGGAGUUCGAGAACAGCCUAGACAACAUGGACAGUGAGCUGGACAACAUUGCUUCAUUAUUUCAGCUGCUUGUGAAGGAGGUCAUGAGGAUGGAGUUCUCAUGAAUGAGAUGACUGCCCUUGUAGAACAGACUCAAGAGAGACUCUUGCUCCUUACAUCAUGUGAAGACACAGAAAGAAGGUAUCAUCUAUGAAUCAGGAAACCGUUCCUUGAUCUUGGACUUCCCAGUCUCCAGAACUGUGAGAAAUAAAUGUCUCUGGUUUAUAAGCCACUUCAUUUAUGGUAUUUUCUUAUAGCAACCUGAACAGACUAAGACAAAGGAUAACUUGCUUUACUCAAAGUCUGCCUAUGUAAAUGUUAGUCUUAUCUAAAAAAUAUCUUCACGGCAACAUCUAGACUGGUAUUUGACCAAAUAUCUGGAUAUCAUGGCUUUGCCAAGUUGACAUAUAAAUUUAACUAUCACAAGUCCACCCUUUGUCAACUUGGCAUUGGUAUACAUAUCCUUAAACUUUACAUACUUAAUCUCCAAAUAGAAAUAAAUAACAAUGUCGUAUUUCCUCCUAACAUGAUACAACCAUCCUGCAUACAACCUGAAAUGCAUAACCUUUUUUUCCAGAAAAGGAUACAGAGUGCUUGGGUGAUGUUCACUCUUCUCCUUAAUAUCUUGUAACUUAAAUAUUAUAAUAUUAAGCUAGCAAUACUU
This 815-nucleotide long non-coding RNA is filed under the name Homo sapiens (human). RNAcentral describes it as "HSALNT0027753". The record is from RNAcentral. Lineage: Eukaryota; Metazoa; Chordata; Mammalia; Primates; Hominidae.